RNAcentral lists this ribosomal RNA (450 nucleotides) under Veillonella parvula. Its description in RNAcentral is "bacterial SSU rRNA". It matches the Rfam family "Bacterial small subunit ribosomal RNA", at positions 28 to 455 of the family's 1533-position model. The record is from RNAcentral. Lineage: Bacteria; Bacillati; Bacillota; Negativicutes; Veillonellales; Veillonellaceae.
GACGAACGCUGGCGGCGUGCUUAACACAUGCAAGUCGAACGAAGAGCGACGGAAGCUUGCUUCUAUCAAUCUUAGUGGCGAACGGGUGAGUAACGCGUAAUCAACCUGCCCUUCAGAGGGGGACAACAGUUGGAAACGACUGCUAAUACCGCAUACGAUCUAACCUCGGCAUCGAGGAUAGAUGAAAGGUGGCCUCUACAUGUAAGCUAUCACUGAAGGAGGGGAUUGCGUCUGAUUAGCUAGUUGGAGGGGUAACGGCCCACCAAGGCGAUGAUCAGUAGCCGGUCUGAGAGGAUGAACGGCCACAUUGGGACUGAGACACGGCCCAGACUCCUACGGGAGGCAGCAGUGGGGAAUCUUCCGCAAUGGACGAAAGUCUGACGGAGCAACGCCGCGUGAGUGAUGACGGCCUUCGGGUUGUAAAGCUCUGUUAAUCGGGACGAAAGGCCU